This 823-nucleotide long non-coding RNA is filed under the name Dromaius novaehollandiae (emu). RNAcentral's name for it is "lncRNA (ENSDNVG00000004785.1)". Lineage: Eukaryota; Metazoa; Chordata; Aves; Casuariiformes; Dromaiidae. The record is from RNAcentral.
UUUGGCAGUGGUAUAACUCUGGCAAAGUUUAUUGAAGUUACUCCACAGAGGGACUAGGUGCUGUUUGUCUCUUGAUGCCCCUACUUUCCACUCUGAUUGAAAGCUUCAUGGACUAUCAUCGCCAUCAGCAGCUGUGGGAGCAGGAGAAUUAGAAACAAGCUCUUUACGGAGGCUACCUGUGUCCUGCUGGGAGACCAGAGCAACUUCGAGGUGGAGGAGAGAAGCCUACUAGCUGUGCCUGGGAACUGCUCCUUGCCUUAGCCCCCACUUGUGUCCUCUAUGGGUCACUGCGGAGGUGAAGCCGAGACUUGUGGCUUCGUACUGAAGGAUGCAGGUGCCAAAUAUCAGCAAUACGUCUUCAUUGUAUGGGCCAAACAACAUUCCUGCUUCGUCAGCCUUCUGUAGGAUGGCACAGGGAUAAUACACAAUUGUUCCAGGUUCAGCCAACUGUGAUGCCUCAAGACAUAAAGCAUAUUCCCCUAAAGUAAUUUUGUUCUUUAUCCUUAAAGAACACAGCCAAACCCUCAAAACUACACAUUAACUUUAGUAGGACAACUGUAUUGCUAAUGCUUAACAGAUGCGAUUGAACCUUUUCUGUUAAAAUCCUCAGUUCCAGAAAUUUCCCUUGUUCUGACACUUUAAGAAGGUGAAAUUGUCCUUGAAAGGACAAAGUUCUUCCUUCCAGACUUGACAUAUUUUUCUAGAACCCUCCUACAUUGUACUUUGGUAUUUCAGUGUUGUGAAGUAUAGUAUCAGCUCAGUUCUGCAAAACUAUUGAGUUAUUGUACUGGUUAAUAAAGUGAAAUUUAUACAAGCUUAAUCA